AACGAACGCUGGCGGCAGGCCUAACACAUGCAAGUCGAACGUGAAGCCGCCUUCGGGCGGUGGAAAGUGGCAGACGGGUGAGUAACGCGUGGGAAUCUACCCAGUGGUACGGAAUAACCC
RNAcentral lists this ribosomal RNA (120 nucleotides) under uncultured bacterium. RNAcentral describes it as "partial 16S ribosomal RNA". It matches the Rfam family "Bacterial small subunit ribosomal RNA", at positions 29 to 149 of the family's 1533-position model. The record is from RNAcentral.